RNAcentral lists this transfer RNA (74 nucleotides) under Pythium insidiosum. RNAcentral's name for it is "tRNA-Thr". The stretch from base 4 to 61 matches the Rfam family "tRNA", at positions 8 to 63 of the family's 71-position model. From Rfam's summary of the family: Transfer RNA (tRNA) molecules are approximately 80 nucleotides in length. Their secondary structure includes four short double-helical elements and three loops (D, anti-codon, and T loops). Further hydrogen bonds mediate the characteristic L-shaped molecular structure. tRNAs have two regions of fundamental functional importance: the anti-codon, which is responsible for specific mRNA codon recognition, and the 3' end, to which the tRNAs corresponding amino acid is attached (by aminoacyl-tRNA synthetases). tRNAs cope with the degeneracy of the genetic code in two manners: having more than one tRNA (with a specific anti-codon) for a particular amino acid; and 'wobble' base-pairing, i.e. permitting non-standard base-pairing at the 3rd anti-codon position. Lineage: Eukaryota; Oomycota; Peronosporomycetes; Pythiales; Pythiaceae. The record is from RNAcentral.
GAUUAGCUCAGUCGGUUGAGUGCCAGCAUGGUGUGCUGGCGGUCGCGGGUUCGAUUCCCGAUGGAGUGAAAACU